Molecule: microRNA, 22 nt
Filed under: Eptesicus fuscus (big brown bat)
Lineage: Eukaryota; Metazoa; Chordata; Mammalia; Chiroptera; Vespertilionidae
Description: efu-miR-9315
Source: miRBase by way of RNAcentral
AAGGAAUAUGAAUCCCAUGGGU